Molecule: unclassified non-coding RNA, 146 nt
Filed under: soil metagenome
Description: partial internal transcribed spacer 1
Source: RNAcentral
UAAUAAGUGUUUUAUGGCACUUUUUAAAUCCAUAUCCACCUUGUGUGCAACUGUCAGUCGAUCUUCUUCAUGGAGAUCGACCAAACAUCAACCUUUAUCUUUUAACUCUUUGUCUGAAAAAUAUUAUGAAUAAACAAUUCAAAAUA